GUGUGUGGCCAUGCCACCGUGAACAAGCCCUAUGUCUGAUCUUGGAAGCUUAAGCAGGGUCGGGCCUGGUUAGUACUUGGAUGGGAGACUACCUAGGAAGACCAGGUGCUGUAGGCA
This 117-nucleotide ribosomal RNA is filed under the name Pteropus alecto (black flying fox). The record is from RNAcentral. Lineage: Eukaryota; Metazoa; Chordata; Mammalia; Chiroptera; Pteropodidae.